This 101-nucleotide small nucleolar RNA is filed under the name Cyanoderma ruficeps (rufous-capped babbler). RNAcentral's name for it is "Small nucleolar RNA SNORD16 (ENSCRFG00000004490.1)". It matches the Rfam family "Small nucleolar RNA SNORD16". From Rfam's summary of the family: U16 is a member of the C/D class of snoRNA which contain the C (UGAUGA) and D (CUGA) box motifs. U81 acts as a guanine methylation guide and is found in an intron of ribosomal proteins L1 gene in animals. This snoRNA was independently named MBII-98 in mouse. The record is from Rfam by way of RNAcentral. Lineage: Eukaryota; Metazoa; Chordata; Aves; Passeriformes; Timaliidae.
UGCUGUGAUGCCGUAAUUUGCGUCUUAUCCGGUGCUCAGCGACAGUCGCCUGCUGUCACCGCGCUGGCACCGCCGAGCUGACGACUCCUUCCUGCUGAGCA